AUGCUGCUUCCCGUUUUGUCAUUUGGGGUUCAAACCCACCUCUGUAAUAGCCACCAUCUGAAGGCCUGCAAAUCCUGCCGCAGCAAUGGUCAGUCCAGCUGCUACCGCUGUACUGGUUCCCGCUACCAUGGGAACUACCGUGAUUCCCGCUGGGCUCCUGUGCUUCCACUGGUGGCUCUCACUUACAUCACAUGCUGCCUUAAGGCUGCGAGUGGGGAUCAGUCCCAUCCACGCCAAAGGGAGUGGGUAGCUCCCCAGAGGGGAAAUGGAUGCAGGGAAGGAUGCAACAAUUACCCAGUGUUGGAACCCACAGAUGCCACAUAUGUUUGGGCUGAAAUCCACCUUGGGCUCUUUUCCAUGAGGCUGUUCACUGUAGUCUAGGGCCCCAUUUGCCUGGAGAAGAGUGUGGGCAGAGAUGCUAUUGGCUAGUGAUAGUCCUUGGAGCCAGGUACCUCCGCCAGGAAGAUAAAGUAUGGACUUGGUGUCUGGAACAAGGGAAAAGUCCAGUUAUAAGAAGUUGAGACAAAUAAUUAAAAGGGCGAAUGGCAUCGGUCAUGUGCUGAAUCCCUGAAUCUUGAAUGCAAGCUGCUCAGGCCUUCUCUCUCUCAGAGGUAGACUGGUUCUAGAACCUCGGGUGGAAUUAAACUUGCAAAGUGGGUGGUCAUGUGUUUCACCAUGGGGCUUUGAAGACCAGGAGUAGAGGGGACCGACAAAUUUAUAUAGUAGAACAUGCAAAUUGCUUAUUACUGGGUUGGUUGGUUAAUAGGUAUGUUUAUGUGCAGAAGAACAUACAGCCUCCCAAUUAGCAAGAGGGCUUUUAAAAAAAUAAAAGCUAGGAGAGGGAAAAAAAAAGAAAAAGAUGUGUUUAGGGAAAGUGGGUAGGUUUGAAGGAAUGGGUCUCUCUGAAGAUUACAGGUAAAACUCCAAGUCUCCAAUCCAGCCAGGGUGUUAGUGAUUAGAAAUCAUUAUUAUAUGACCAUUUGCCGUUUGGUGGAGUGUUUGGAAUGAGCUAGUUAAUCCCAUUCCAAUUCAUAAUGGGCAGGUAGCCAAGUCAUACAAAACACCUUGACAAUCCAUACUAAUUGGUUUGUCUCUAUGGAGCCCCCAAGGUGAAUUGCCCAUGGAGAUGGACAUUUCCCUCAACCCGGCCCCCCCCCAUUUCAACUCUCCCUCCUCUCUCCUACCACCACCACACACACACACACACACACACACACACACACACACACACACACACGGCACUGGAAUGUUUUGCUUUUAAAUAACAUCAUUUUGUCCACCCAUUUUUCUGGGCUCUAAAUUUCCCCAAGCUUUCUUUUUAAAAGAAGGAGUGGAUUGGAGGUAAGGAAAGUAAACUGAAUGCCCUUGGGACAUUUUCAGGGUCAUUUGUAUUUUCAGAGUAGGCUUCAUUGCCAAGGGUAGUAAGAAAAAAAGUUAUCUGUGGACAAAACAAAAAUGCAAUUCAUGUUUUGGAAGGCCAGGGAAACAAAUUCCCAGACAAAGAUUCAUACAGCCUAGAAAUAGUUUCAGAAAGAUCUACCGACCCACAAAAACUUCUACCAGCCCACAGAAUCAUUUCCAAGAAUGGCUAAUCAUGUACUAUUGAGAAAUACCCCCCAAAAAGGAUAAAAAUACGGGUGUAUGCAACUUUGAUUGAUAGCUGGGUUUUGAAUAAAUAAUUACCCUUUACACCUGAAAGUUGGCUUUACCAAGCAAGCGCUGACCACCUCUGGGCUCAGUUGAUUUUCUGGGCAUUUCUAAGGGGCAGUAAGAUUGAUAGCAGUCCCUCCAUUUGGUCAGUGUUGUGUUCCGUCGGCUAGCUGGGCAAGCAGGGGCACCUGGUAGCAGUUAUGUGAACCUCACCAGCUGUGUGACCUUGAGUAAUCACCUGACGUUCCUGGGCCUCAGUUUUUUAAUCAACCAUCCUUACCCUAGGCUCUCUGCUUAAAUGAAAAGUAUAUUUUAUAUUUAAAUAACAUGUUUUUAGCUUUCAGUUUUAAAUUACUUAACCUUUGGUGCAUUUGGGUUUUACAUAAGGAAGGGAAACUUCCAUGUAAUGAAAUCCCGUAAUAACCCUUCCUUUAUUAAUGUGACAUUGCCCACCCCCUCAUCCCCCGCAGCGGAGGGUAAAUUAAAGCGUAUAACCCAGUGUAAACAUUUGUCAGCCCAAAUGCAUUUAUAGACAUUCAGUGUGUGCAGACACCUGGUUAUUUACAUGAUUUAUACCAUUAGUGCGUCAUUUCUAGAUAGGAUGAAUUUCGAAUACGUGUUCCUCGUAAGCCUUGCUGUGAGUUUUGACAGAAGUAAAUAAUCGUACCUUUAAUUAUCUCUGUCUGUAGAAUGUGGUAGAUAGGGAACAAUGGGUAUGAAAUACUCAUCCUCCUAGGGUGCAAGAGGGAUGAAAAAAGUUUUCGUAAAGUACAAGACAGAAGGAAGUCAUUUCUGAGUAAGCCCAUUAGAUGUUUUUCUUGCUCCCUAAUCACAAAGCCUAGACACCACUGAAAGGAAAAUGAUCUGAUAGGCUCCUGUUUACCACUGCUUGAGGGUAGAGGGAGAUUUGAUUUGAGCCUCUUGGCCUCCAUGAAAAGUCACAUAAAUAGGAAGUGAAAUUUGCAAGGGAUUCCAACAGACUCCACAAAGGUUUGCAUGGGGUGGACCAGCACAUCUCAGGCACUCACGCUGGCUCUCAGAUGUUCGUUUGGGCGUCCGUCAUGGUAAUUCAGCUUCUGUGCAGAAGAAUAAUUAAUUCUAGAGGCAUGAAAUCUGUAAAAGAAGCCCCAGCUUCUAGUCUUCUGAAAAGUCCUUGUCUCUGGAGAAGUGAGAGGAAAGUAGGGAAUCUCUACAGACUGCCCUAAAGAAAACCUGCAAGGCUUGGCAACCCAGCACUGUCCUCUGGGCUUUCUUAUCAUCCAUGUGUAUCAAUUACUAGAUAACGUCAGG
Delphinapterus leucas (beluga whale) is the source of this 2940-nucleotide long non-coding RNA. Lineage: Eukaryota; Metazoa; Chordata; Mammalia; Artiodactyla; Monodontidae. The record is from Ensembl.